This 301-nucleotide ribosomal RNA is filed under the name uncultured bacterium. RNAcentral describes it as "partial 16S ribosomal RNA". It matches the Rfam family "Bacterial small subunit ribosomal RNA", at positions 509 to 807 of the family's 1533-position model. The record is from RNAcentral.
CAGUAGCCACGGUAAUACGAAGGGUGCAAGCGUUAAUCGGAAUUACUGGGCGUAAAGCGUGCGUAGGCGGUUUGUUAAGUCUGUUGUGAAAUCCCCGGGCUCAACCUGGGAAUGGCAGUGGAUACUGGCAAGCUAGAGUGUGUCAGAGGAUGGUGGAAUUCCCGGUGUAGCGGUGAAAUGCGUAGAGAUCGGGAGGAACAUCAGUGGUGAAGGCGGCCAUCUGGGACAACACUGACGCUGAGGCACGAAAGCGUGGGGAGCAAACAGGAUUAGAUACCCGCGUAGUCCCUGUCUCUUAUAC